AGGUCAUGUCACCAGCAAGAAGCC
RNAcentral lists this non-coding RNA (24 nucleotides) under Arabidopsis thaliana (thale cress). Lineage: Eukaryota; Viridiplantae; Streptophyta; Magnoliopsida; Brassicales; Brassicaceae. The record is from RNAcentral.